RNAcentral lists this ribosomal RNA (565 nucleotides) under uncultured bacterium. Its description in RNAcentral is "bacterial SSU rRNA". It matches the Rfam family "Bacterial small subunit ribosomal RNA", at positions 461 to 1023 of the family's 1533-position model. The record is from RNAcentral.
AUACUGGAACGUUAGCUCCCAAGAUACUAAGCGCCAGGCUAACUCUGUGCCAGCAGCCGCGGUAAUACAGAGGGUGCAAGCGCUAAUCGGAUUUACUGGGCGUAAAGCGCGCGUAGGCGGCUAAUUAAGUCAAAUGUGAAAUCCCCGAGCUUAACUUGGGAAUUGCAUUCGAUACUGGUUAGCUAGAGUGUGGGAGAGGAUGGUAGAAUUCCAGGUGUAGCGGUGAAAUGCGUAGAGAUCUGGAGGAAUACCGAUGGCGAAGGCAGCCAUCUGGCCUAACACUGACGCUGAGGUGCGAAAGCAUGGGGAGCAAACAGGAUUAGAUACCCUGGUAGUCCAUGCCGUAAACGAUGUCUACUAGCCGUUGGGGCCUUUGAGGCUUUAGUGGCGCAGCUAACGCGAUAAGUAGACCGCCUGGGGAGUACGGUCGCAAGACUAAAACUCAAAUGAAUUGACGGGGGCCCGCACAAGCGGUGGAGCAUGUGGUUUAAAUUCGAUGCAACGCGAAGAACUUUCCUGGCCUUGACAUAGUUAGAACUUUCCAGAGAUGGAUUGGUGCCUUCGG